This is a long non-coding RNA of Mandrillus leucophaeus (drill), 2752 nucleotides long. RefSeq lists it as uncharacterized. The transcript has 3 exons. NCBI's taxonomy places the organism in Eukaryota, Metazoa, Chordata, Mammalia, Primates, Cercopithecidae. The record is from RefSeq and is a predicted model, not a curated record.
GGACCUCCAUGACCAGUGUCUGCAGAGCCAGGGGUACAGGUGCCCAGUGCUGUGGCCUGGCACCAGCUGCCUCUCAGAGGGUGGGUGGCACACUGUCCUUACCCAGAGGACAGCAGGCCUGGUCACCAGCUUUUCUACCUGCCCCUGUAAGCAUCACCUUGCUGGAGGAGAAUUUCAUCCCAGAGCUUGGACUGUCCCUAGCUCAGGGGCUAGGGGUUGUCUCUUGGUGACAUAAAUGAAAAACCAGGUCCAGAUCAGAGUUCCUGAUGUUGAACACUCAUCCAUUCUUUGAAUCAUGGGAGGGGAGGCCUGGUACUAGGUGGGCCUAACCUCUUUGAGGAACCACAGAGCCCAAGGCUGGAAACCUCCAGAAUCCUCCACCCCCGAUCCUCCCUGGGACCCCUGUGGCCUGUCUCACCGAGCACUCUUCCAUCCCUACAUGUCUCGGCUGCUCUAUGAGGGAGUUCCCUUUCAGGUGUGGGGCUGGGCAUGGCCACUCCUGCUGGAUGUCUAGAUGGUGGAAACCAAGGGCCUAGGGAAAUACCAGGUACAGCCUUUCCAUGUUCAUCCAGUGCAGGACAAACAGGUCAGGUGGUGUCAGGAGCCCAGGUCUCCAGCUGGAGGGAACGUCAACCCUGCAGUGGGAACAGGGGCCCAUUGUACAUCCUAGGCACAGACACCACAGGUAAACUGGGCUUGGUACCUACCCCUCCCCGGAUUCAGAAAGAAGCCAAACAAGGAGCUUUGUGCAGAAUGAAGCCUCCUUCCUUCCAGAAGCACUGUUGACUGUUUGGCGGUUGCCAUUUGUGGCAGUGAGCCUUUUGUUUAUUCUGAGGUUGGGCUGGUUUCUCCUCUUGGCCCUGACCUACAGAUUAUAAAGGAGAGCAGCAAGAGGUCCCCAGGAAACAUCCACAGAUGGCAUUGGAAAUAAGUCACCUUCUGAGAAGCAUGUCAUGCUCUGGGAGGGCUAAGGCAUCAAGUAAGGCCUAUGGGGUUGGAAGAUCCCUGGGCAGGUGGGGCAAUCCACAGCCUUGGGGUCUUCCCAUGGGAAUCGGGAGGUCCUGAGGCAGAGGCAGUGGUCCCACAGGAGGAGUCACAGAGCCACCAAGGGCUCUCCUGGCCCAGGGAGCAGUCAACACCAUGGACUGAACACCUGCUGGGCUCAAAGUCCUGGUCCAGACUGGGGCAUGUAGGGCCAGGAGGGAUCUCGGAGUGGGAGACAGAGAGACAAGUGUGCUCAGAGGGCACCCGUUUCUGGAAGUAGUGUGGUCCAGAGAUUUUGGCUGGGAAGAGCUUCCAGGGUUUCAUAUGUGUUGUGGAGCUACUUCCUCUCUCCAGCCUCACUCUGCAGGAAUGCCAGUGAAUAUAUUGCCGCCACCUUGGAGCUCAGUGCCCUCAUAGUGUAAUGGCACCAGCAGAUCUGCCUGUGCAUGGACUUCCUCUACUACCUCAUUCCUGAGGAGCAAUGCUUCUGCAGGGCCUCUGACUUGGUGCACAACUUCAGACACCAUCAUCCUGGAGCAGUACCGCACCCUCACUAGCCAGGGUGUUGAUGACUUCCUCAAGGCCAAGGCCACGUUCAAGGCUUCGGACUUCAUUGAUGCACUUGUGCUGAGCAAGGCGGGCUUCUCCGGGACCUUAAUUCAGGAGGUAGAAUGGAGCUUGGGAUCAAGCAUCUGAUGAAAGAACUUGCACUUGAUCUGGAAGGCUCUGGGGAGCCAUGGAAGGUGCUGGAUAAAGGAGUGACAGAUUCGUUUCAGAGAUGACUGUAGAAGGCUGCCUAGGAGUGAACAAGAGCCAGGAGGCCAGGGAGGGAGCUUGUGGGGCAGGUCUGGAGAUGGCAAGGGAGGGAUCCUGCUUGGAUGAAAGGUCUUCAGGCACUGUCUCAGGUUACACUCAGGUGCCCUCAGAGCUAGUAUGUUCAGAGUCUUGCCUCCAGGAUGAAAAUGGGAAGGAGUUGUCAGACGAGGACAUAGAAAUGGAGGCUGGCAUAUUCAUGAGUGCCAGUGGUGGUCCCGGUGUGGGACUACUGUGGGAACAGGGGUCUUUCCAUUCAGGGAUGUGGUGGAUGGACCCUACAUCACUCCAUUCUGCCCUUCCUUUCCUUCCUCUCAUUCUCCCGAAAGCCUCAGUGCGUGGGCGCUGUUCAUCCUGUGGUGCUGAAGCAGCCAAGAGUCACAAGCCUGCCUGGCUGCCUCUUAGGAUAUGACAGCAGAGGCAGUGGCCUCUACUGGAUCCUGUACAACUUCACAAAACACCCAGACACCGGGAGUGCUGCCAGCACGUGAUGAAACAGUUCUGAGGGAUCACAGUCUUGAAGACAUUGAAUAACCUGUCACUGUGCUGUUUUUACCAAAAAUGACCAUGAGGAUCAGAGAGGGAAAGUCACUUGCCUAAAGUCACACAGCUGAACAGUGGUGGAGUUCAACUUUGACCAUGGGCUGUCUGACCCCAAGUUGUAUACUUGCUUCUCUCCCAAGAGACUCCUCUCUUAUCAGGCUCAAAUGAAUGAAAGGAGGAUGUUAAAGUUCCUAGAAGCUGUAAUUGAAUGACAGAUCCUAGUAUAUCUGUACCUACUAAAAACCACACUUCUGAAGCGACAUGGCCACCGGAAGCCACAGCUAGUCUGCCAUGUAAAAAAGGAAAGGUCCAUGUGCCCUGAGGGUGCAGGGGUGAGAGGCAGGGGAAUGGAGACCCCCACAGCCAGCAGCAGUGGCCCUCAUCACAGCCCUCUGGGAGAUAUGAAAGGAGG